Molecule: long non-coding RNA, 270 nt
Filed under: Ananas comosus (pineapple)
Lineage: Eukaryota; Viridiplantae; Streptophyta; Magnoliopsida; Poales; Bromeliaceae
Description: long non-coding RNA (ACOM_LNC020021)
Source: RNAcentral
UAACCAAAUUUUAUAAUUUUUUGAAUUAUACUAAAGUCCAUCAAGUGAGAAUAAAAUGGACAGUCAAAAUCAAACGAUCUUCUAAAAUUAGAGGAUAGAGUUCUUACAUUCAAGAUCGAUCUUAAUAUACAUAGUAAAUUCAAAAGCUUUUUCAUCAAUUCAAAAGCUUUUUCAUCGAAAACGAUUUAUAAGUAUAAAGACGAUCAUAUUCAUAAUAAUAUAUUAGCCGAACUCUAUAUAUGUGUAUAUUUUUACUUAUAUAUUUCAAAU